AUGGAUUUAGUAUGUUGGAAUGUACAUGGCCUUAAUAGUCCAGCUAGGAGGGAUGCUUUGAGGGAGUUAACGAAUUCUAUGCAUGUUUCGAUUUGGUGCAUCCAAGAGACUAAACUAGAGCAUGUAGACCAAUAUGUGAUUAUGCAAUGUUUAGGGCCAUCUUAUGAUGUUUUUGCGUACUUGCCAGCUUCGGCCACUCAUGGUGGCAUCAUCAUUGCUUGGAACUCUUCCAAAGUGAUUGUUUCUAACACGGUUCGCGACACUAACUUCAUCACGGGAUAUGUCGCAUCGAGGGAAGGAGCUUCUUGGUGGCUUUCGGUGGUGUAUGGGCCUCAAGAGGUCCCGCAAAAGGUCGUGUUUUACAAGAACUUUCGGACAGGUGGGCACUCUGCCCGAGACCAUGGAUGGCAAUAG
This 414-nucleotide ribosomal RNA is filed under the name Triticum aestivum (bread wheat). RNAcentral's name for it is "partial small subunit ribosomal RNA". The record is from RNAcentral. Lineage: Eukaryota; Viridiplantae; Streptophyta; Magnoliopsida; Poales; Poaceae.